AGUCAUAUGCUUGUCUAAAAGAUUAAGCCAUGCAAGUCUAAGUAUAAAUAUACAUAAAAUGAAACUGCAAAGAGCUCAUUAUAUCAGUUAUAGUUUACAUGGUGAUGCUUCUACUUGGAUAACCGUAGUAAUUCUAGAGCUAAUACAUGUUAACACGCUCCGACUUCGGAAGGAGUGUUAUUAUUAGUACAAGUCAACUCACAUUUGUGAUUACUUUGUGUGAAAUGAUAAUUCAACUAAUCGUGCCGCUAGCUACGAUACGCCAUUCAAGUUUCUGCCCUAUCAGCUGCGAUUCUAGUGUAUUGCACUAGAAUGGCUUACACGGGUGACGGAGGAUUAGGGUCUGAUUCCGGAGAGGGAGCCUGAGAAACGGCUACCACUUCCAAGGAAGGCAGCAGGCGCGUAAAUUACCCAAUCCUAAUACGGGGAGGUAGUGACAAGAAAUAACAAUACCGGUUUUAUACAAAUCUGGUAAUUGGAAUGAGUAUAUCGUAAAAUCUUUAGCGAGGAUCAAUUGGAGGGCAAGUCUGGUGCCAGCAGCCGCGGUAAUACCAGCUCCAAUAGCGUAUAUUAACGUUGUUGCAGUUAAAAGGCUCGUAGUCAAAUAUGUGAACCUUCUCUUAUGUAUCUAUGCUUACUGUGUAGCUGCGUAUUAAAGGUCAUCAUUUAGGUAAUCAUUGCUGCUCUUGAUUGAGUUGGCAAUGAAAUCCUGUUCAUUUACUGUGAGUAAAUCAGAGUGUUCAAAGCAGAUUGUCACGUUCCUAUGUUUUAGCAUGGGAUAAUACUAUAUGGCUUUAUUUCUACUUGACUUUAGAAAUUGAAGUAAUGGUUGAAAGGAGUAGUUGGGGGUGCUAGUAUUUAGCGGUCAGCGGUGAAAUGCUCAGACCCGCUAACGACUCUCUAAUGCGAAAGCAUUCACCAAGGAUAUUUCCUUUGAUCAAGAACGAAAGUUGGGGGAUCGAAGACGAUCAGAUACCGUCGUAGUCUCAACCAUAAACGAUACCGACUAGAUAUUGGCCGAAGUUUGUUUUCGACUCUGUCAGCGUCUUUAGAGAAAUCAAAGUCUUUAGGUUCUGGGGGGAGUAUGGUCGCAAGGCUGAAACUUAAAGGAAUUGACGGAAGGGCACCACCAGGAGUGGAGCUUGCGGCUUAAUUUGACUCAACACAGGAAAACUUACCAGGUCCGGACAUAACAAGGAUUGACAGAUUGCAGAUCUUUCUCGAUAUUAUGGGUGGUGGUGCAUGGCCGUUCUUAGUUGGUGGAGUGAUUUGUCUGGUUAAUUCCGUUAACGAACGAGACCUCAGCUUACUAAUUAGCUUUCCAAAUUUUUUUGCAGAAGCUUCUUAGAAGGACUAUCGGCGUUUAGCCGGGGGGAGUGUGAGGUAAUAACAGGUCUGUGAUGCCCUUAGAUGUUCUGGGCCGCACGCGUGCUACAAUGAUGUAUCAAGAGAGUUUCCGUGUGUAUUCAUAUAGAAAAUCUUGAAAAUCCAUCUUGCUAGGGCUUGGCGAUUGCAAUUUUUGGUCACCAACGAGGAAUUCCUAGUAAUUGCGGGUCAUCAACCCGCGUUGAAUGCGUCCCUGCCCUUUGUACACACCGCCCGUCGCUCCUACCGAUUGAAUGAUCCGGUAAACAUCUCGGAGCUAGAACGUUUUACGUUCCCGUGAAGUUAUGUAAACCUUAUCAUUUAGAGGAAGGAGAAGUCGUAACAAGGUUUCCGUAGGUGAACCUGCAGAAGGAUCA
This 1742-nucleotide ribosomal RNA is filed under the name Placopus melkoniani. Its description in RNAcentral is "SSU rRNA". It matches the Rfam family "Eukaryotic small subunit ribosomal RNA". Lineage: Eukaryota; Endomyxa; Vampyrellida; Placopodidae. The record is from RNAcentral.